GAUGAACGCUAGCGAUAGGCCUAACACAUGCAAGUCGAGGGGCAUCACAUGAAGUAGCAAUACGGAUGGUGGCGACCGGCGCACGGGUGAGUAACACGUAUGCAACCUGCCUUCAACAAGGGGAUAACCCGUUGAAAGACGGACUAAUACCCUAUAACACAGGGGUCCCGCAUGGGAAUAUUUGUUAAAGGACAACCGGUUGAAGAUGGGCAUGCGUUCCAUUAGCUAGUUGGCGGGGUAACGGCCCACCAAGGCAACGAUGGAUAGGGGAACUGAGAGGUUUAUCCCCCACACUGGUACUGAGACACGGACCAGACUCCUACGGGAGGCAGCAGUGAGGAAUAUUGGUCAAUGGACGCAAGUCUGAACCAGCCACGUCGCGUGAAGGAAGACGGCCCUACGGGUUGUAAACUUCUUUUAUACGGGAAUAAAGUGCCCUACGCGUGGGGUUUUGCAUGUACCGUAUGAAUAAGGAUCGGCUAACUCCGUG
RNAcentral lists this ribosomal RNA (490 nucleotides) under uncultured bacterium. Its description in RNAcentral is "bacterial SSU rRNA". It matches the Rfam family "Bacterial small subunit ribosomal RNA", at positions 28 to 507 of the family's 1533-position model. The record is from RNAcentral.